AUACUUACCCAGCAGGGAAAUAGCAUGAUCACAAAGGUGGUUUUCCCCGGGUGAGGCUCACCCAUUGCACUCCGAAUGUGCUGGCCCUGCGAUUUCCUCAAAUGUGGGAAACUCGACUGCAUAAUUUGCGGUAGUGGGGGACUGCGUUCGCGCUCUCCUUUU
This is a small nuclear RNA of Pteropus vampyrus (large flying fox), 162 nucleotides long. Its record names the gene U1. It matches the Rfam family "U1 spliceosomal RNA". Rfam says of the family: U1 is a small nuclear RNA (snRNA) component of the spliceosome (involved in pre-mRNA splicing). The record is from Ensembl. NCBI's taxonomy places the organism in Eukaryota, Metazoa, Chordata, Mammalia, Chiroptera, Pteropodidae.